This is a long non-coding RNA of Bombus huntii, 2618 nucleotides long. RefSeq lists it as uncharacterized. NCBI's taxonomy places the organism in Eukaryota, Metazoa, Arthropoda, Insecta, Hymenoptera, Apidae. The transcript has 2 exons. The record is from RefSeq and is a predicted model, not a curated record.
AAUAGAAUACGUAGAACACAGCAUGCCGUUAUGCGAUAUUGUCGAUUCCUAACAUCCGAAAAAUCAGAGAUAAUUUUUUCCCUACAGUUGUACAUUUGUGUGAAAAAUUACGAACGUAAAGUUGUUUGGUGCAUGCACAGUCCUCCCCUCCCCUGCAUUUGCGUGGACAUGCUAGAAAGAUUCACUUUUCCACGGUGAAACUGUAUGAAAUGUAUUAUAAUUUCAUUUUUACAAAGGUCGAACAUCCUACUAUGCAUAAAUUUAAUAUUAAUAUAAGCAGGUUUCGUGUUAAGUAUUACAUCUGACGUAUAAGCACACGUGUGUACGAGCCUUGGUUUUAAAUGUCUUAUAGUAGACACCGAAAAGAUUAUUCAGUUGGAUAUCUGACUCAACAUCAAUAUUUUACUAGGAGAUAACAUGUUAAGAACACGUUGGUGGAUGGCAUGGGAGAUGAUGAAUGAAGACAUACUUCUGUGAGAUACAUAAAAUAGUAGUCAGAACGUAUUUUGGCGCUUGGGGACAGCAACAGCUGGUGAUACUGUCAUACACCUCCAUUUAUAAACUUUCGAAAAUCGAUGUGACCUUCAAACUUUAGUGUAUUCUGUUUCACAGCACAAAAUGUUUCCGAAACGUACGUUUAUUGUUACAAUGAACUUGACUAAUGGCUCUGAAAUACUAUCCUUGAAAAAACAAUGGGGGAAUUGGAGCAAAAAAAAGAAGGAAAUAAACAAAGACCUUGUUGGUUCGUAAAAAUAAAAUAUGCUACAGGAAAAACUUUUUCCAACGGAUUGAGAUGCGACGAGCUUUAAAAGCUAUGACGCGAAUCGAGCGUUUGUCUACAAGAGCGCAUUUUCGGUGGAUAUAUAGAUAUACAUGUAUAUGUGACGAAAUAUACUAAAGCAAUAUUGACCCUUUGUCGCUGAAAGUAUCAAACUACAAAACUUCCUUUCAAAUUUUCAGAAUAAGGAAAUCAGGAUCAUGAUAAAUAAUUGGAACAUAAUUAAAAAUAAUAUAUCUUCUCUAUAAGAUAAUGAAUACAUUGGUUCAUUUAAUUUUUAUGGAUAUUCAAACGCUUCUGUGAAAUAAAACGUCAAGAUUAUAGAGUAUAAAAUUCAUAGCUAUGAAAUAACUAAAACUCUGAUGUAUUAUUAAAAAUAUACGUUAGGUUGUAUGUAGUGAUACAUACAAAGAUUACAUGUACAAACCCAUAAUUAACACAAUGCUACCGCAACCAUUCUGCAAUCUACCUUGCCCAAAACACUCUUCCAGUCACCUCCAAACUCUUCAAUUCUCUCCACCUAAUCACCCACAAACCAUUCACAAACAUGCAAUUCUCGACAAAAGAAGAACUUAUCGUCAGUUGUCCUUAACAUCUCGUUCAUUCAUUUGGUCCCUAUCCCCCUAUUUCCUCCCACUGUGAUGAUCGCACUACAUUUUUCCACAUUUUCUACAUUUUUCUCUAUUCUAUUCUCUGGAUGACCUGAAUUCUCGAGCAGUCGAGUGACGAUUGAUCUGUACAAUUGAUCGAUUUCUUUUUACUACAGCCAUGCAGAAAAUUUCGUCUUGGAAAACGAUGUUGUGAUUUCGAAUGCCUGGACCACGUAAAGAACAUUACCGGAAGUGGUAAAAUUUAUGUCCUUGAGUAUAAGAAAUCCUCCAGCUCCUCGACUCAGCGACAAACGCUACUCUGGGUGAUGAGCGUAAUGGUGCUAUUGCGGCUAGUUUAAUUUUUCAACAAGGAUCCAGAUGGCGCCGUUGACGGAAUUCUUUCGCUAUAAACGUCAACGAUCAACAUCAGCCAUCAGGAUCUUCCUUGUUGUUACGCCGCCUAAAACAUCUGCACGCCAGCCCGCGCCAGCUCGCACCACCGGACAACAACCAGCCUGCGUAACGUCACUUCGACCCUCAAUAAACCUAAGGACCCACCAUAACUUUCACUUCCCUGUAUUGUUUCGCCAUGUGUCUUCAAUCCGUUUGUCUAGAAGAAUUUCUAAAGCUUAAAAAUAUUCUCGAAACACAGUCGGUUUUUAGAGAGGUCCUUGGGUUUAUUAGACGUACUUAAAACACGGAGAAAGCGGGUAUGCACCCAUUAGGAAAAUCCGAAUAGCCCUCUAAUAAAACAAGCUAUGUUUUCCUCACGCACACAGUCAUCUAUCCACCACGAUGGUAGGAGACUUCCUACUCAUCCCUUCGAGCAGUAGUGCAGGUCAUGACCAAUCGACACCGCGGUUCGUUACCCUCACUUUUCCUAACGAAAGUGGGGACAACGAAUCCGCGUUCUUUAGGCACAGGGGCACACCCACACCGAACUUUUCUUCUGUAUUAGAAAAAGAGCGACAGUCAGUCUAAAAACUAACGCCUAACGCGGCAGUCUACACAUAGCGCGAGAGUCGCAUACUUCACGAAAAUCUUUUGUCGGUUCUCGGUGUUGUCGAACAUACAUCUUCUCUCCUAAAUAUAUUAUAGUGCUAAGUACAUUAAUACAUUAAUUUCCAUUAUAAGAUCCCUGCUCUAGCGUACAUAUCUAUCACAUCUUCGUGCGACAAGUUGUUAACUAUUUAUUUCUCUACGUCAGUGUAAUCUAAGUGUUGGAAAUAUAUAAUUUAUAAUUCAGUGAA